CAAUGCCAAAUAAGUAUACUAUGGAGAUAUAUAUAUUAUGACGAAUUUAAUAAAAUCUAUCUAGAGUUGUAGAUUUUUGUUGAUGGUUCUAUCAACUUGGUCAAAUUUCAAAAAGAGAAAGAAAAAUUAACUUAGAAUAUAGUCAAAACAUCUUAUAAUUUAGAAAGAAAAAAACACUACAGAAUAUGCUAUCUCACCAGGUACAAAAGGUCCAACUGUGGCGUUUAUAGCCGUCUACGGUAGAGCAAAUAAUAUUCUAUCCCAAUUAAUUAGAACAGAAGGAGUACAUUGAUUAAUCUAUCCCUGCACCCAGGGCGAAAGAUGCCACGCCAUCUUGCUUCAUGCUGCUCCUUUUUGCUGGGUGGGGCAUAUGGGUUGGUCUGCAGUUUGUAGCUAGAUUUGGUGGUUGGCAUAUGCAGAUUGAGUUGGUUCUGACCACCUCCACGUCAGAAAAGGCAUGACAGAAUUAAAAGAAAACACAGGGCUAGACUCCCAGGACCGGUCAUAUGAGCCAGGCAGAGAUAUUUCGGUCCCAGGAAGCUAUCUGCAAGUAUUCUGUCCGUCUGACUUUUUAUUACAUUUAUCUAGACAUAUUUAAGAUACAUACAUAAUUUUAUAUAAUUUUGAGUUACUUAAUAUGAAACGGAGGGAGUACAUUACA
This 661-nucleotide long non-coding RNA is filed under the name Brachypodium distachyon (stiff brome). RNAcentral describes it as "long non-coding RNA (BDIS_LNC003954)". The record is from RNAcentral. Lineage: Eukaryota; Viridiplantae; Streptophyta; Magnoliopsida; Poales; Poaceae.